AGCAGCCGCGGUAAUUCCAGCUCCAAUAGCGUAUAUUAAAGUUGUUGCAGUUAAAAAGCUCGUAGUUGAAUUUCGGGAUCGACGGGUCGGUCGCGCCUCCGGUGUGUACUGGCCCUGUCGGUUUCUCCCUUCUGAAGAACCGCGAUGUCAUUAAUUUGGUGUCGUGGGAAAUCAGGACUGUUACUUUGAAAAAAUUAGAGUGUUUAAAGCAGGCAUUCGCUUGAAUACAUUAGCAUGGAAUAAUGAAAUAGGACGUUUGAUCUUAUUUUGUUGGUUUCUAAGAUCGACGUAAUGAUUAAUAGGGAUAGUUGGGGGCAUUAGUAUUCAAUUGUCAGAGGUGAAAUUCUUGGAUUUAUUGAAGACUAACUACUGCGAAAGCAUUUGCCAAGGAUGUUUUCAUUAAUCAAGAACGAAAGUUAGGGGAUCGAAGACGAUCAGAUACCGUCGUAGUCUUAACCAUAAACUAUGCCGACUAGGGAUCGGAUGAUGUUAAUUUUUAAUGACUCAUUCGGCGCCUUAC
This 520-nucleotide ribosomal RNA is filed under the name uncultured Glomus. RNAcentral's name for it is "SSU rRNA". It matches the Rfam family "Eukaryotic small subunit ribosomal RNA", at positions 569 to 1091 of the family's 1831-position model. Lineage: Eukaryota; Fungi; Glomeromycota; Glomeromycetes; Glomerales; Glomeraceae. The record is from RNAcentral.